RNAcentral lists this ribosomal RNA (460 nucleotides) under uncultured bacterium. RNAcentral describes it as "partial 16S ribosomal RNA". It matches the Rfam family "Bacterial small subunit ribosomal RNA", at positions 338 to 795 of the family's 1533-position model. The record is from RNAcentral.
CCUACGGGAGGCAGCAGUGAGGAAUAUUGGUCAAUGGACGAGAGUCUGAACCAGCCAAGUAGCGUGAAGGAUGACUGCCCUAUGGGUUGUAAACUUCUUUUAUAUGGGAAUAAAAUGUUCCACGUGUGGGCUUUUGUAUGUACCAUAUGAAUAAGGAUCGGCUAACUCCGUGCCAGCAGCCGCGGUAAUACGGAGGAUCCGAGCGUUAUCCGGAUUUAUUGGGUUUAAAGGGAGCGUAGGUGGAUUGUUAAGUCAGUUGUGAAAGUUUGCGGCUCAACCGUAAAAUUGCAGUUGAUACUGGCAGUCUUGAGUACAGUUGAGGUAGGCGGAAUUCGUGGUGUAGCGGUGAAAUGCUUAGAUAUCACGAAGAACCCCGAUUGCGAAGGCAGCUUACUAAACUGUGACUGACAUUGAUGCUCGAAAGUGUGGGUAUCAAACAGGAUUAGAUACCCUUGUAGUC